This is a non-coding RNA of Chiloscyllium plagiosum (whitespotted bambooshark), 582 nucleotides long. NCBI's taxonomy places the organism in Eukaryota, Metazoa, Chordata, Chondrichthyes, Orectolobiformes, Hemiscylliidae. The record is from RefSeq and is a predicted model, not a curated record.
CGCACGGAGCAGCAAGACAGCUGAUACUGACAUCGUGCAUGUGCUGACUGUCACAGGCAUUUGUACAUGCACAGAAUAAAGAGCAUGAACCGAUCCCCGCAGGAAUCGUUCUAUUGCAGACAAAGAUUUGUUUUUCAUUGGGCACUAUUUUCUAAGAUGAUGGGAAACAGGGAUAAAGAGACGUACAGACACAAACGGCAGCAACAACUCGAAGGGUGCUUGCACCCGGGGCCUGCCAGGAGUGACCGUUGCACUAGAUUUUAUUUCUCUUGGAAUCUCCCUGCAAGAUAAGAACUUUUUUCUCAAAGCUACUCCAUCAAAUUUUCGUGUCAAUGGUCAAAGACACUAUUAUGCCUUCAACUACACAGAGCCAAACACAGCCAUCAAGACCACCCUCGACAGGAUUAAAUACAAUAAGCGAGAGUUACCAGGUGAUUUAGUUGCUACAAGAUGUUUCAUCUAUAUUGUAGAGUUGCAACAGAAGUCAACUUUGCUCCAUUUUGACUCCUUCCUUUUUUUUUGGGAGUGGGCUGGCCAUCAUAAAUUAGAUAUGUACAGAAAUCAGAUUUCAAAAUAAAAUGU